AUGCGUCAGAGCCGUCAGAUGUAAGUGGUUUGUUUAUUGAUCAUUUUAUUUGUCGAGUCAUUUAGAUUGAGAAGAAGGAGAGAGCUACAAUGCCUGGAGGUAUACCAGAUUACUGCACAAACUCUGCCAAAAAAGGUUAUAAAAUGUGUCAUUUUCCAUGAGACCCAGUCAAAAAUUUGGGCUAAAAACACAGGAAAACAAGACUGGAUUCCGUCUGAUAAUUCGGUGUUAUGUGAGGUAUAUAUUAGUGCCACGAAUGUAUUGCUGCCAAAGGAUCAAAGACAACAAUAAGUGCAUACUUUUGAUGCAUUUUGCGUAUUAAAUGUUUCAAAAGAGACAUUAUUUUAUGUCAAUCUUUCAAGUUUUGGUUUUUUAAAAGCAUGGAAUCAAUAAUUAAACAAAACUUCGAUGUUCCAAAACCUUCUGUAUUUGCUGUUAAAUUGUCACGAUCUCAAAAUAAUUAAAAAAUAUUGCAUAUUUCAUUUGAAAACGCUUUCUGUGAUAAUCCGUGAUAACAGAUCCAACUUUGCUAGUAAAAAUUGAUUUCUUCAAAACACCGACAUAUGAAAACAAAAAAGAGGAAAGACGAAACUGAAGAUAGAGAGAAAAC
Molecule: long non-coding RNA, 610 nt
Organism: Trachymyrmex septentrionalis
Lineage: Eukaryota; Metazoa; Arthropoda; Insecta; Hymenoptera; Formicidae
Exons: 4
Source: RefSeq, a predicted model, not a curated record